RNAcentral lists this ribosomal RNA (253 nucleotides) under uncultured bacterium. Its description in RNAcentral is "partial 16S ribosomal RNA". It matches the Rfam family "Bacterial small subunit ribosomal RNA", at positions 524 to 776 of the family's 1533-position model. The record is from RNAcentral.
UACGUAGGGGGCGAGCGUUAUCCGGAAUUAUUGGGCGUAAAGCGCGCGCAGGCGGUUUCUUAAGUCUGAUGUGAAAGCCCACGGCUCAACCGUGGAGGGUCAUUGGAAACUGGGAGACUUGAGUGCAGAAGAGGAGAGUGGAAUUCCACGUGUAGCGGUGAAAUGCGUAGGGAUGUGGAGGAACACCAGUGGCGAAGGCGACUCUCUGGUCUGUAACUGACACUGAGGCGCGAAAGCGUGGGGAGCAAACAGG